RNAcentral lists this ribosomal RNA (2899 nucleotides) under Shigella dysenteriae. Its description in RNAcentral is "bacterial LSU rRNA". It matches the Rfam family "Bacterial large subunit ribosomal RNA". The record is from RNAcentral. Lineage: Bacteria; Pseudomonadati; Pseudomonadota; Gammaproteobacteria; Enterobacterales; Enterobacteriaceae.
UUAAGCGACUAAGCGUACACGGUGGAUGCCCUGGCAGUCAGAGGCGAUGAAGGACGUGCUAAUCUGCGAUAAGCGUCGGUAAGGUGAUAUGAACCGUUAUAACCGGCGAUUUCCGAAUGGGGAAACCCAGUGUGAUUCGUCACACUAUCAUUAACUGAAUCCAUAGGUUAAUGAGGCGAACCGGGGGAACUGAAACAUCUAAGUACCCCGAGGAAAAGAAAUCAACCGAGAUUCCCCAGUAGCGGCGAGCGAACGGGGAGCAGCCCAGAGCCUGAAUCAGUGUGUGUGUUAGUGGAAGCGUCUGGAAAGGCGUGCGAUACAGGGUGACAGCCCCGUACACAAAAAUGCACAUAUUGUGAGCUCGAUGAGUAGGGCGGGACACGUGGUAUCCUGUCUGAAUAUGGGGGACCAUCCUCCAAGGCUAAAUACUCCUGACUGACCGAUAGUGAACCAGUACCGUGAGGGAAAGGCGAAAAGAACCCCGGCGAGGGGAGUGAAAAAGAACCUGAAACCGUGUACGUACAAGCAGUGGGAGCACGCUUAGGCGUGUGACUGCGUACCUUUUGUAUAAUGGGUCAGCGACUUAUAUUCUGUAGCAAGGUUAACCGAAUAGGGGAGCCGAAGGGAAACCGAGUCUUAACUGGGCGUUAAGUUGCAGGGUAUAGACCCGAAACCCGGUGAUCUAGCCAUGGGCAGGUUGAAGGUUGGGUAACACUAACUGGAGGACCGAACCGACUAAUGUUGAAAAAUUAGCGGAUGACUUGUGGCUGGGGGUGAAAGGCCAAUCAAACCGGGAGAUAGCUGGUUCUCCCCGAAAGCUAUUUAGGUAGCGCCUCGUGAAUUCAUCUCCGGGGGUAGAGCACUGUUUCGGCAAGGGGGUCAUCCCGACUUACCAACCCGAUGCAAACUGCGAAUACCGGAGAAUGUUAUCACGGGAGACACACGGCGGGUGCUAACGUCCGUCGUGAAGAGGGAAACAACCCAGACCGCCAGCUAAGGUCCCAAAGUCAUGGUUAAGUGGGAAACGAUGUGGGAAGGCCCAGACAGCCAGGAUGUUGGCUUAGAAGCAGCCAUCAUUUAAAGAAAGCGUAAUAGCUCACUGGUCGAGUCGGCCUGCGCGGAAGAUGUAACGGGGCUAAACCAUGCACCGAAGCUGCGGCAGCGACACUAUGUGUUGUUGGGUAGGGGAGCGUUCUGUAAGCCUGUGAAGGUGUACUGUGAGGUAUGCUGGAGGUAUCAGAAGUGCGAAUGCUGACAUAAGUAACGAUAAAGCGGGUGAAAAGCCCGCUCGCCGGAAGACCAAGGGUUCCUGUCCAACGUUAAUCGGGGCAGGGUGAGUCGACUCCUAAGGCGAGGCCGAAAGGCGUAGUCGAUGGGAAACAGGUUAAUAUUCCUGUACUUGGUGUUACUGCGAAGGGGGGACGGAGAAGGCUAUGUUGGCCGGGCGACGGUUGUCCCGGUUUAAGCGUGUAGGCUGGUUUUCCAGGCAAAUCCGGAAAACUAAGGCUGAGGCGUGAUGACGAGGCACUACGGUGCUGAAGCAACAAAUGCCCUGCUUCCAGGAAAAGCCUCUAAGCAUCAGGUAACAUCAAAUCGUACCCCAAACCGACACAGGUGGUCAGGUAGAGAAUACCAAGGCGCUUGAGAGAACUCGGGUGAAGGAACUAGGCAAAAUGGUGCCGUAACUUCGGGAGAAGGCACGCUGAUAUGUAGGUGAAGUCCCUCGCGGAUGGAGCUGAAAUCAGUCGAAGAUACCAGCUGGCUGCAACUGUUUAUUAAAAACACAGCACUGUGCAAACACGAAAGUGGACGUAUACGGUGUGACGCCUGCCCGGUGCCGGAAGGUUAAUUGAUGGGGUCAGCGCAAGCGAAGCUCUUGAUCGAAGCCCCGGUAAACGGCGGCCGUAACUAUAACGGUCCUAAGGUAGCGAAAUUCCUUGUCGGGUAAGUUCCGACCUGCACGAAUGGCGUAAUGAUGGCCAGGCUGUCUCCACCCGAGACUCAGUGAAAUUGAACUCGCUGUGAAGAUGCAGUGUACCCGCGGCAAGACGGAAAGACCCCGUGAACCUUUACUAUAGCUUGACACUGAACAUUGAGCCUUGAUGUGUAGGAUAGGUGGGAGGCUUUGAAGUGUGGACGCCAGUCUGCAUGGAGCCGACCUUGAAAUACCACCCUUUAAUGUUUGAUGUUCUAACGUUGACCCGUAAUCCGGGUUGCGGACAGUGUCUGGUGGGUAGUUUGACUGGGGCGGUCUCCUCCUAAAGAGUAACGGAGGAGCACGAAGGUUGGCUAAUCCUGGUCGGACAUCAGGAGGUUAGUGCAAUGGCAUAAGCCAGCUUGACUGCGAGCGUGACGGCGCGAGCAGGUGCGAAAGCAGGUCAUAGUGAUCCGGUGGUUCUGAAUGGAAGGGCCAUCGCUCAACGGAUAAAAGGUACUCCGGGGAUAACAGGCUGAUACCGCCCAAGAGUUCAUAUCGACGGCGGUGUUUGGCACCUCGAUGUCGGCUCAUCACAUCCUGGGGCUGAAGUAGGUCCCAAGGGUAUGGCUGUUCGCCAUUUAAAGUGGUACGCGAGCUGGGUUUAGAACGUCGUGAGACAGUUCGGUCCCUAUCUGCCGUGGGCGCUGGAGAACUGAGGGGGGCUGCUCCUAGUACGAGAGGACCGGAGUGGACGCAUCACUGGUGUUCGGGUUGUCAUGCCAAUGGCACUGCCCGGUAGCUAAAUGCGGAAGAGAUAAGUGCUGAAAGCAUCUAAGCACGAAACUUGCCCCGAGAUGAGUUCUCCCUGACUCCUUGAGAGUCCUGAAGGAACGUUGAAGACGACGACGUUGAUAGGCCGGGUGUGUAAGCGCAGCGAUGCGUUGAGCUAACCGGUACUAAUGAACCGUGAGGCUUAACCUU